ACCGCGAUAGCUCAGCUGGCAGAGUAUCUGCCCAGUAUAUGCGGAGGGUCGCCGGUUCGAUUCCGGCUCGCGGCG
RNAcentral lists this transfer RNA (75 nucleotides) under Fasciola gigantica. It matches the Rfam family "tRNA". Rfam says of the family: Transfer RNA (tRNA) molecules are approximately 80 nucleotides in length. Their secondary structure includes four short double-helical elements and three loops (D, anti-codon, and T loops). The record is from Rfam by way of RNAcentral. Lineage: Eukaryota; Metazoa; Platyhelminthes; Trematoda; Plagiorchiida; Fasciolidae.